This is a long non-coding RNA of Dendronephthya gigantea, 445 nucleotides long. RefSeq lists it as uncharacterized. The transcript has 3 exons. The record is from RefSeq and is a predicted model, not a curated record. Lineage: Eukaryota; Metazoa; Cnidaria; Anthozoa; Malacalcyonacea; Nephtheidae.
UAUGCAUCUGUUGCACAGGUGAUCCAGCUCUUUUGCAUCAUUGGAUAUCCACUCAAGUAGUUGACAUGAACACAAUUGAGCAAUGCAGUGUCGAGAAGCUAAAAGAACUUUGUCAUUUGUGUAAUAUAGCAAUUUCAGGCAAAUCAAAGGCAAGAAUGCUCAUUGAUUUGCGGUCAUUGUAUGAAACCUUGCUGGUUGGUUCAUGUCCUUGCCAUGGCUUCACAAAAGUGCCAGGGCAUACUGGUGGUUUCUACCACAUUGUUUGUCGCCAUGGCGUAACCGCAGCUUCAAAGUUUCUGACUUUACAGGAGUCAGUAAGACAUGCUGCCGAUCUCUAUUUAUCAUUUAAGCAUAUUCCUCUUGUUUUUCUUUGCGACACGGCUUGUGGGUUUGUCAGGCACUUAGAGUGCCGGGUCAGUAAAGAAAUGACCGAACAGCUAUGGAA